This 461-nucleotide ribosomal RNA is filed under the name uncultured Enterobacteriaceae bacterium. RNAcentral's name for it is "bacterial SSU rRNA". It matches the Rfam family "Bacterial small subunit ribosomal RNA", at positions 920 to 1382 of the family's 1533-position model. The record is from RNAcentral. Lineage: Bacteria; Pseudomonadati; Pseudomonadota; Gammaproteobacteria; Enterobacterales; Enterobacteriaceae.
CCCGCACAAGCGGUGGAUGAUGUGGAUUAAUUCGAUGCAACGCGAAGAACCUUACCUGGUCUUGACAUCCACGGAAGUGUUCAGAGAUGAGAAUGUGCCUUCGGGAACCGUGAGACAGGUGCUGCAUGGCUGUCGUCAGCUCGUGUUGUGAAAUGUUGGGUUAAGUCCCGCAACGAGCGCAACCCUUAUCCUUUGUUGCCAGCGGUCCGGCCGGGAACUCAAAGGAGACUGCCAGUGAUAAACUGGAGGAAGGUGGGAUGACGUCAAGUCAUCAUGGCCCUUACGACCAGGGCUACACACGUGCUACAAUGGCGCAUACAAAGAGAAGCGACCUCGCGAGAGCAAGCGGACCUCAUAAAGUGCGUCGUAGUCCGGAUUGGAGUCUGCAACUCGACUCCAUGAAGUCGGAAUCGCUAGUAAUCGUGGAUCAGAAUGCCACGGUGAAUACGUUCCCGGGCCUU